CUUCCUUGUUUUGGGCUUGUGCCCUCUUUCUUGUUGUUAACAGUUUCCGGAAAGAGAGUGAUCGGGAUGCAAGAUUUUUGAGACUCACUGGUCUGAAACUGCCUUUCCUCUUAAAUUUAGUUAAGUAUUUCCCUGGGCAUGGAAUUCAAAGGUGGUUAUGACUUUUCUUCAGGAUUGUGAAUGUAUUUAUAUCCUCCCAUCUUACGUUGCUAUUGAGAAUUCUGAAGUUCUUCUGAUUCCUGAUUCUUUGUAUGUGUAUUCCUCAUUCCACACCUUCCCCAGAAUGCAUGCAGAAUUUCUUCCUUUCUAUUUUCUUUUCUCUUUUUCUGAAACUCUUAUUAUUGGGAUCUUCUGCCUCUUGGAUUAGGGCUCUAAUUUUCCGACAUUUUCUCUGCUAUUUUUUACUACUUUAUUUUUCUCCUCUACUUUCUGAGAGAUUUCCUCCUCUUGAUCUUCCAAAUCUUGUACUGAAUCUUUUAUUUUUGUUAACAUGUUCUUAAUUUCCAAGAACUCUUUUUUCUUGUCUUCGGAGUUUCAACACUUAUUGUUGUUUUGUGCAUGUAUUAUUUUUUCUUCUCUCUCUGAGGCUAUUUAGGAAAUUUUUUAUUGAAGCUCCUCCCCCCUGCUUCCUUCAAGUUGCUUUUAUCUGCUUUUUUAUUUGCUUUUUCAUGCAAUAAGUUUUUCUCACAUGUCUGGUAACUCUUGGGGAUUACCAAAAACUCAUAGAAAAUUCUGACCAUGUGAGUAACACUUGCCAAUUUUGAGCUUCAUGAUAGAAUGAUCUAGCUGGACCUUUUGCUGCGGGGAAAUCGGAGGUAAGUGUCUUUGGAGACUUCCUCUUGGGAUGGUCAGGUCUCCCAGGUUUCAAGAUUCUUCUAAUUUCCUUCUUGAAUCAGUUGCCUAAUUUAGGAAAUAAAAAUACAGGAUCUCCAGGUAAAUUUGAAGUUCAGAUAAACUUUGUUUUUUUUGAGAGAGUCUCUUUCUGUUGCCAAGGCUGGAGUGCAGUGGCAUGAUUUCCGCUCACUGCAACCUCUGCCUCCCGGGUUCAAGCAAUUCUCCUGCCUCAGCCUCCCGAGUAGCUGGGAUUACAGGUUCAUGCCACCACUCCCAGCUAAUUUUUUAUAUUUUUGGUACAGAUGGGGUUUCCCCAUGUUGGCCAGGCUGGUCUCGAACUCCUGACCUCAAGUGAUCCGCCUGCCUCGGCCUCCCAAAGUGCUGGGAUUACAGGUGGGAGCCACUGCUCCCAGCCCAGA
RNAcentral lists this long non-coding RNA (1253 nucleotides) under Homo sapiens (human). RNAcentral describes it as "HSALNT0113309". Lineage: Eukaryota; Metazoa; Chordata; Mammalia; Primates; Hominidae. The record is from RNAcentral.